This is a non-coding RNA of Methylomicrobium album BG8, 28 nucleotides long. Lineage: Bacteria; Pseudomonadati; Pseudomonadota; Gammaproteobacteria; Methylococcales; Methylococcaceae. The record is from Rfam.
GUUCACUGCCGUACAGGUAGCUUAGAAA